GACGAACGCUGGCGGCGUGCUUAACACAUGCAAGUCGAACGAUGAAGAAGAGAAACGCGAACUUCGGUUCAAAUUUCACUUCGGAUUAGUGGCAGACGGGUGAGUAACGCGUGAGCAACCUACCUCUUACAAAGGGAUAGCCUCGGGAAACCGUGAUUAAUACCAUAUGACACAUUCAUAAGGCAUCUUAAGAAUGUUAAAGCUACGGCGGUAAGAGAUGGGCUCGCGUCCCAUUAGCUAGUUGGUGAGGUAACGGCCCACCAAGGCGACGAUGGGUAACCGGCCUGAGAGGGUGAACGGUCACAUUGGAACUGAGACACGGUCCAAACUCCUACGGGAGGCAGCAGUGGGGAAUAUUGCACAAUGGAGGGAACUCUGAUGCAGCGACGCCGCGUGAGCGAUGAAGGAAUUCGUUUCGUAAAGCUCUGUUCUAUGGGAAGAAAAGGGCUGUACCAUAGGAGAAAGCCCCGGCUAAAUACGU
This 481-nucleotide ribosomal RNA is filed under the name uncultured bacterium. RNAcentral's name for it is "partial 16S ribosomal RNA". It matches the Rfam family "Bacterial small subunit ribosomal RNA", at positions 28 to 506 of the family's 1533-position model. The record is from RNAcentral.